RNAcentral lists this ribosomal RNA (497 nucleotides) under uncultured bacterium. RNAcentral's name for it is "partial 16S ribosomal RNA". It matches the Rfam family "Bacterial small subunit ribosomal RNA", at positions 28 to 507 of the family's 1533-position model. The record is from RNAcentral.
GAUGAACGCUGGCGGCGUGCCUAAUACAUGCAAGUCGAGCGAACAGAUAAGGAGCUUGCUCCUUUGACGUUAGCGGCGGACGGGUGAGUAACACGUGGGUAACCUACCUAUAAGACUGGGAUAACUUCGGGAAACCGGAGCUAAUACCGGAUAACAUUUGGAACCGCAUGGUUCUAAAGUGAAAGAUGGUUUUGCUAUCACUUAUAGAUGGACCCGCGCCGUAUUGGCUAGUUGGUAAGGUAACGGCUUACCAAGGCAACGAUACGUAGCCGACCUGAGAGGGUGAUCGGCCACACUGGAACUGAGACACGGUCCAGACUCCUACGGGAGGCAGCAGUAGGGAAUCUUCCGCAAUGGGCGAUAGCCUGACGGAGCAACGCCGCGUGAGUGAUGAAGGGUUUCGGCUCGUAAAACUCUGUUAUUAGGGAAGAACAAACGUGUAAGUAACUGUGCACGUCUUGACGGUACCUAAUCAGAAAGCCACGGCUAACUACGUG